This 870-nucleotide ribosomal RNA is filed under the name Saccharomyces cerevisiae (brewer's yeast). RNAcentral describes it as "LSU rRNA". It matches the Rfam family "Eukaryotic large subunit ribosomal RNA", at positions 1 to 801 of the family's 3401-position model. The record is from RNAcentral. Lineage: Eukaryota; Fungi; Ascomycota; Saccharomycetes; Saccharomycetales; Saccharomycetaceae.
ACUGCGGCUAAUCUUUUUUAUACUGAGCGUAUUGGAACGUUAUCGAUAAGAAGAGAGCGUCUAGGCGAACAAUGUUCUUAAAGUUUGACCUCAAAUCAGGUAGGAGUACCCGCUGAACUUAAGCAUAUCAAUAAGCGGAGGAAAAGAAACCAACCGGGAUUGCCUUAGUAACGGCGAGUGAAGCGGCAAAAGCUCAAAUUUGAAAUCUGGUACCUUCGGUGCCCGAGUUGUAAUUUGGAGAGGGCAACUUUGGGGCCGUUCCUUGUCUAUGUUCCUUGGAACAGGACGUCAUAGAGGGUGAGAAUCCCGUGUGGCGAGGAGUGCGGUUCUUUGUAAAGUGCCUUCGAAGAGUCGAGUUGUUUGGGAAUGCAGCUCUAAGUGGGUGGUAAAUUCCAUCUAAAGCUAAAUAUUGGCGAGAGACCGAUAGCGAACAAGUACAGUGAUGGAAAGAUGAAAAGAACUUUGAAAAGAGAGUGAAAAAGUACGUGAAAUUGUUGAAAGGGAAGGGCAUUUGAUCAGACAUGGUGUUUUGUGCCCUCUGCUCCUUGUGGGUAGGGGAAUCUCGCAUUUCACUGGGCCAGCAUCAGUUUUGGUGGCAGGAUAAAUCCAUAGGAAUGUAGCUUGCCUCGGUAAGUAUUAUAGCCUGUGGGAAUACUGCCAGCUGGGACUGAGGACUGCGACGUAAGUCAAGGAUGCUGGCAUAAUGGUUAUAUGCCGCCCGUCUUGAAACACGGACCAAGGAGUCUAACGUCUAUGCGAGUGUUUGGGUGUAAAACCCAUACGCGUAAUGAAAGUGAACGUAGGUUGGGGCCUCGCAAGAGGUGCACAAUCGACCGAUCCUGAUGUCUUCGGAUGGAUUUGAGUAAGAGC